UUUUUUUUUAUUUUUUUAUUUUGCCAUUUCUUGGGCCGCUCCCACGGCAUAUGGAGGUUCCCAGGCCAGGGGUCUAAUUGGAGCUGUAGCGGCCGGCCUACACCACAGCCACAGCAACUCAAGAUCCGAACCACAUCUGUGACCUACACCACAGCUCACGGCUAAGCCGGAUCUUUAAACCGCUGAGCAAGGCCAGGGAUCAAACCCGCAGCCUCAUGGUUCCUAGUCGGAUUUGUUAACCACUGAGCCACGACGGGAACACCACAAAUUUUCUCAUUAAAUGAAAAGAAUCUCUUCCAGGUCCUGGUGUAUUAGCUGAGAACAAUUUUUAUAUAAUAGCAAUUCUAAAAUAGAUACCUUUGAAUUAUGUUUUUUGUUUGUUUUGCUCUUUAGGGCCACAUUGCAGCACAUGGAAGUUCCCAGUCUAGGGGUCAAAUCGGAGCUGCAGCUGCUGGCCUACGCCACAGCCACAGCAACACCCGAUCCUUAAUCCAUUGAACGAGGCCAACGAUUGAACCCACCUCCUUAUGGAUACUUGCCAGGUUCAUAACCCGCUGAGCCACAAUGGGAACUCCUGAAUUCUGCUUGUUGUUGUUGUGUUUUUGUGGGGUUGUUUGUUUUUGAUGUUGUUGUUGUUUUGGCUGAGCCAUGCAGAUGUUCCCAGGCCGGGGAUCGAACCCUCGCCACAGCGUGGUGACAACACGAGAUCCUUAACCACUAGGCCAUUAGGGAACUCCUGAAUUCUGUUUUUGAAUUUAACUUUAUGUCUUGGCUGGUUUUGCACAUGGCCAGCAGAAUCCUAACAAAGUCAAUCCCUCCCUCCAUGAAGGGAUACAGUGUAUAACUUACUUAACCAUCUAGAGGCUAGAUUAUUUCAUUGGUUCUGUUUUUUAAAUAUCAUAAACAAUGUAUAAUGAAUUUGUGCUUGUAGCCUUUGCUUUCUUCUGGAUUAUUUCCUUGGGAUAAAUUCCCAAAAGUUUUAUUCCAAAAAGAGGGGAGGGGCAUGUUUACAAUUGUUUUUUUUUGUUUUGUUUUUUUUGUCUUUUUAGGGCUGCACCCAUGGCAUACAGAGGUUCCCAGGUUAGGGGUCUAAUCAGAGAUGUAGCUGCCGGCCUACACCACAGCCACAGCAAUGUAGGAUCCGAGCCAUGUCUGCGACCUACACCACCGCUCACAGCAACGCCAGAUCCUUAACCCACUGAGCAAGGCCAGGGAUCGAACCCGCAACCUCAUGGUUCCUAGUCAGAUUUGUUAACCACUGUGCCAUGAUGGGAACUCCUACAAUUCUUCAUAGGUCUUUCCAAAAUCUUUUCAUACCAAUUUAUAUGUGUAAGCAGCAACAUAGAACUAUGGGUUUCCCUACAAAUUUGGCAGCAUUGCGUGUGAUUUUUCUUCGUGUUUCCAAGUAAAGAGGUAUAAAAUGGCAUAUAUAUGUAUGUAUAUACAUAUGUGUGUGCGUGUGUGUGUGUGUAUAUAUAUAAUUUUUUUUGUCUGCCCCGAGGCAUAUGGAGUUCCCAGGCCAGGAAUCAGAUCCCAGCUGCAGGUGCAACCUACGCUGCAGCUGCAGCAACACAGGAUCCUUAACCCACUGUGCAAGCCUGGGGAUCUAACCCUUGUCCCAGUGCUCUAGAUACACCCCUGAUCCCAUUGAGCCGCACCGGGAACUUCUCCUUUCUCUCUGUUUUUAUUUGCUUGUCUUUGAUUGUUAAUGACCUUGAACUUCUCUCCAUGCUUUUGUGCUUUUGUAUUUGUGCUCGCACACAUUAUGUCUCUGGCCUUUGUCCUUUUUAGGGGUGUUGUUGGCGUCUUUAUUUUUUUCAUAACUUUUAUGAGCUUGAGACAGAGUAGAGAUAUUAACCCUUUACAAGCUGUUUCUGCUGUAAGUACACCACCCCACAGUAUGUUUUGUUCUGAACUUGUCGUCCAGGUUUGUUACAAAGGGCUGGUUGCUUCUGCGUACUUCAUACAUAGGCAGAGUUCAAGAGGAAAGGGCGGAGUGCUGGUGGAGUGGGGGACACCCCUGGUGGGAGCCAGGCAUGUGCAUGUGACACCCUCCCCCCCAAGUCAGGGUGUGAUGUCAUCACGCUCCUCCCAGCAUCCUCAGGGCCCCCCGAGGCUUGGUUGCCAGUACCUCCCCUAGUGAGACCCAGGCUCUUACUGGACAUUGCCAAGGUCAUGAGGGUACUCAUGCCAUCCUCAGUAAGGCCUCGGGGUCUGGGCCUGGAGGAGGGUGGGCAGAGCCUCCACGUUCUGUGUGUGAUGCUCUAAGCUGGUCACAUCUGGAAUGUGUCAGGGCAGGUGCAGCCAUGGUGAGGCGCAGUUCACUUGCCACACCCUGGCUUUGAACAGUGCUUCCCAGCCUGCCCAUGUCAUCACGCACAGAAAAUCAUACUUGUAGGGCCCGAUGUGGUAAAGGAGGAGCUGUCUAACCUCAAAAUCAAUAGCCUGAAGCUCCACCCUGAGGAUGCACCUGCCGCAGGGUGCAAAGGUCACAGAUGCUGGACUUUUCCUCAGCGCCCUUAGAUUUUCACUGACCACCUCCUCAAAGUCCUUUCAGCGUGUGUCCCCUGCUCAGUCCCAAAGCUAGCUUCAUAGUUUUAGGAUUUUGUUACUUCAGCACCCCGCUUCCAAGUAUCAGAAUGUGUAUCUGUUUUCUAUUGCUAUGUAGUGAAAUACCCCCAACAUUCAGUGGCUUAGAACAAAAGUGAACCUCUAUUUCCUCGCACUUUCUGUGGGGCAGGGAUUCCGGGGUAGCCUGGUUGAGAAGUGUUUGCUUAGGGUCUCAAGGGGUCUCGAGAAGUUGCCACCAGGAUGCUGGCUUGGGCUGCAAUAAUCAAGGCUGGACUUGCAAGGCGGCUCAUUCACAUGGAGGUCAGAUCGGUGCUGGUGGGUGGUGGGAAGCUUUGCUUCUCCCCAUGUGGGUCUCUUGAAUGUCCUUGUCACGUGGCAGCUGGCCUCUUCCAGAACCCAAGAUGCAGCAGAGCAAAUGGAAGCCACGUCUGUCAGCUCCGUUAAACUUCAUAGGUCACACAGACUGGCUGAUUCAUUGAGGGCGGGGUCUGCACCCAGGAGUGAAUCCCAGGAGGUGGAGACUAUUGGGGGCCAUCUCAAAGGCUGUUAUGGGCUGCAUCACGUCCCUAAAAUUCCUUUGUCAUGGAGUUCCUGUCAUGGCUCAGCAGAUAAUGAACCCGACGAGUAUCCAUGAGGAUGCGAGUUCCAUCCCUGGCCUCGUUCAGUGGGCUAAGGAUCCAGUGUUGCCUUGAACUGUGGUGUAGGUCAAAGAUGUGGCUCAGAUCCUGUGUUGCUGUGGCUGUGGUGUAGACCAGCAGCUGCAGCUCCGAUUCGACUCCUAGCCCGAGAACCUCCAUAUGCAGUGGGUGUGGCCCUAAAAAGGCAAAAAAUAAAAUAAAAUAAUAGAAAAUUCCUUUGUUGAACUCGUAACCCCUGGUCCCUUAGGCUGUGGCUGUUGAGGGAGAUGGAGCCUUCAAAGAUGGGACUAAAUGAAACUGAGGUCCUGUGGGCGGGUCCUGGUCCCCCGUGGCUGCUGUCCUUGGGAGAAGAAGAGGAGAUUGGGACACGGGCACACACGGGGAAGAGGCGUGAGGACCCGGGGAGAGGCUGGCCAUUUGCAGGCUGAGGAGAGAGGCCUCAGAAACAGCCAGCUCUCCUGACAUCUUGGACUUCUGGCCUCCAUCACGGAGAGGAAACAAAAUUCUGCCUUCAAGCUGCCCGGUUCGUGGUACUUGUCACUCCAGCCCUAGACACGAAUCCGAAGGCUGACCAUCAUGGCUAUCAAGUAAGAAAGAAGAGUGGCAAGGCGGAUGACCAUGCCAUCAGUCAAAAAGUGACAUCUUACGGUCACACAGGUUCAAACACAGAUAGAUCUGGUGUCUCUUCGGGAGGGUGGUAACCCAAAGACACUUUUGAAAGAACUUCUAGCAAGUCAGAUCCCUCAGAACUUCUGCCUCAUCUGGGGAGUUCCCAUGGUGGCUCAGUGGUAAUGAACCCAACUAGUGUCCAUGAGGAUCUGGGUUCGAUUCCUGGCCUCGCAGUGGGUUAAGGAUUCGGCAUUGCCACAAACUAUGGUGUAGGUUGCAGAUGUGGCUUGGAUAUGGUUUUGCUGUGACUGUGGUGUAGGCUGGCAGCUGCAACUCUGAUUCGAUCCCUAGCCUGGGAACUUCCAUAUGCUGUGGGUGUGGCCCUGGGGGGGGGGAAUCAGUCAAUCAAUCAAUCUUAUGUCUCACCUAGUGGAAGAGAACCUAUAAGGAAGGUAUGAAGGUGAUUGAACAAGGAGUUCCUGUUGUGGCUCAAUGAGUUAAGAACCCAGCUAGUAUCCACGAGAACGUGGGUUCAGUCCCUGGCCUCACUCAGCGGGUUAAAGAUCUGACAUUGGUCCAGAUGUGGCUCGGAUCUGAUGUUACUCUGGCUGUGGCGUCGGCAGGCAGCUGCAGCUCCCAUUUGACCCCUAGUGAGGGAACGUCCAUGUGCUGUGGGUGUGGCCCUAAAAAAAAGGAAAAGAAAGCGACUGAUCAUUAUUGGUUCUAAAUGAACACCAGUGAAACAGCAUCCUAACCCCAGAAGGGAGUGACCCUUCCCAGAGACCUGGGCAUGAACUUCAGAAAGCAGACCCACGGAAAGGUCCCUUGGCUGGGUGUCUUCAGUGGCCCGUCAUUUCCUGCUGCAGCUACGUUUUCUGGGUGGGCUCCAGGGAUUCUGUUUCCUUAAUAAGAGAGUGAGAAAACUACACAAUAGGCCUCAAAGGCUGGGCUCAGGGUGCCCCAAGGCCAAGUGUGGGCAGGUCUGAACUUCUCAGCCAAGGAUCAAGGUUCCAGGGCCUCCCACUGCCAAGACAGAGUCUCUUAAGAGCAAGCAGCCUCAUUAUCUAAAUAAACACAGGUUGGAAGGAGCAGUUAACUUCAGUUUCAGUGUUCAAUGGUAGCCAAGAAAAUAAAAAUUAAAUGGCUGAAUAUCUUGUUAUCACAUGUGUUGGGGCAGAGGGUGCUUUGCCAGGAAGAGAAGGUGCAAACAAAAUCAGCCUGGGAGGGAAAUAACCACUUAAAAAAAAAAAUUCCUGCCAGUGGUUCAGAGCUCUGUGUCAACAAGGAAAUGGUCAGACCUGAAUCGGACCUGAAUUAGCUUGGGCCUCUUCCUGAAAACAUGCUGUGGGUUCUUUCACUCUCACCAAGAUAAAUUCUUUCGCUCCCAGGGCCGCUAUGAGGGCCAAAGCAUGCCUCUAUAAAUCACGGGGGUCACAGGACCUCCUGGGUCCAAGAGGAUUGUGGUCUUAUCAAUGGGAAUCUUCUUUUCUUUCCUUCCUCUAGUAGCCUUAAAGAAAAUGGCCGGGCUCACGUCCUAAGAAAAGAUAAAGUUUCUAGGGCUCUCCUCCAACUCCGACAGGAGUGCGAAUAUUGGUCUAACUUUCCUGGAUAACACUUUGGCCGUGUGUAUCAAAAGCCUGCGUGUUUUGAAUGCCCUUUGACGAAGCGAUCUACUUCCAAGAAUUAGAACCUAUCAUGGUUGUGUACAGAUAUUAAGCUCUGAGGAUGUUUCACAUAGAAUUCUUUGUAACAUUAAAGAAUGGAGAUCAUCCGAAAUGGGGAUCGUCACUCUGGUGGGGUAUUGUAAAUAGAGCCAGUACCUCCACAAAAUGAGAAACUCUGCAGCUCUGGAGUUCCCAUCGUGGCGCAGCACGAACAAAUCCGACGAGGAACCAUGAGGUGUCAGGUUCGAUCCCUGGCCUCGCUCCGUGGGUUAAGGAUCCGGCAUUGCUGUGAGUUGUGGUGUAGGUUGAAGACUCGGCUCUGACCCUGCAUUGCUGUAGCUGUGGCAUAGGGCGGCAGCUGUAGCUCCGAUUAGACCCCUAGCCUGGGAACCUCCAUAUGCCACGGGUGUGGCCCUAAAAAGCAAAAAGAAAAAAAGAAAAGAAAAA
RNAcentral lists this long non-coding RNA (5929 nucleotides) under Sus scrofa (pig). RNAcentral describes it as "lncRNA (ENSSSCG00065067913.1)". Lineage: Eukaryota; Metazoa; Chordata; Mammalia; Artiodactyla; Suidae. The record is from RNAcentral.